GCCUUUUGUAGGAACAUGAUUCAAGAAAGGGUUACAGAAGGACCUUCUAUUCCAGUCUUCUUAAGAGCUGAACUUCUCCACAGGACGAUCCUGUGAGCUGGUACUGGCUGAAAAGAAAAAAAAAUAUUUCCUGCACUGAAAGAAUCUGAAGUCAGAGACAACAGUAGAAUUUCCGUGGAAAAACAAGAAAUAACUACCUCUGGACUGAAACAGGCCUCAGGCUUCUGUAUGUUGCCACACUCCUCCCCAGCAGCCGUGAACUUUGUGAACAAACACAGACGUUCCUCAUCUGUGAUCUCUGGCAUCCACUUCACUAAGUUGACCAGAAACCUGUGCUCGUAGACACCCAACAGAAUCGGUGAAUGACUACCCCUGCAGCCCUCCCCCCUGCAGCCCUCCCCCCUGAAGCCCUCCCCCCUGCAGCCCUCCCCCCUACAGCCCCUCUUCUUUCACAUGUUUGUUACACAAACACAUCCUAGGUUUCAGAUUUGGUGAGUGCAAAACGUUUAAAUGUUCCUCUUCUGCAAGGGUCUUACAAAACUUUCUAAUUCACUAGGUGGACUUUUUGAGGACUAUAUAGCCACAGACAAAAAUGUACCCUAUUGAACAUAGUAGGUCUUUUAAAAGACUUGUUUCCCAGAUCAGCUCUCUUCCCUCAGUGGCUAAAAGCUGUUUCCAUUACACUUGGUACAGACAAGGGUCUAAAUCCAAAAUCAUGGGUCUUAUGCUUGACAUUUGAAACGCUACACUAGAAAAUACAAGUAAAAUCCCUGCCACUUUGGAUCUUUCCUGCUUUAAAACACUGAAGUCUCAAGGCAAAAAUCUGUAUCUUUGGAGAUGGUGAGACGGCUCAGUGGAUGAAGGUGCUUGCCACCAAGCUUGGUGACCAGAGCUCCAUUCCCAGGACUCACAGGACGGCAGGAAAAAAAAACAAAAAAAACAAAAAACAACUGUCAAAUGUUAUCAUCCAACCUCUCAAAUCACAUACAUGAUGGGUGUCAUGGCAUGUGCACACACAUAGAUACACUUACACACACACAUACACUUAUACACACAUACAUACACUUACACACACAUACAUACACUUACACACAUACAUACACUUACACACACAUACAUACACUUACACACAUACAUACACUUACACACACAUAUAUACACUUACACACAUACAUACACUUAUACACACACAUACAUACACUUACACACACAUACAUACACUUAUACACACACACAUACACUUAUACACACAUACAUACACUUACACAUACAUACACUUAUACACACAAAUAAAUAAAUACAAUAAUAUUUUACAUGUCCAUAUUAUAUUCUCUCUCUCUCUCUCCCUCUCCACCUCCCUCUCCCCCUCCCCCUCCCCCUCUCCCUCUCCCUCUCCCUGUCCCUGUCUCUGUCUCUGUCUCUGUCUCUGUCUCAAAAAAAUCCGGCUGAUUUGCACCUGCCCAGCAGGACUUUGGCUAUCUGCCUGACCCAUCCUUCCAAACCACAGUCUGUUCACAACAGACUCUGCAAAUAAGGGGAAAGACAUGGCCUAGAUGUUUGCUCGUAAACAACAGCAGUAAGUAAGCAAUGUUGUUGAACUAACCAAAUCGUGUCAGCCGAUACAGUAAAUUUUCAGAGACAGAUGUGCCUUUGGGCUUCGUACCUGUGUCUCUUAUUCUGAAGGUCCUCCUUGAGAGGCUGACACCAGUCUGCACGCAAAGCAGAUACAAGUGCAGAGACUGAUGGGAGUGCAUAGGUGGUGUCGGCUUUCAGGUGCUCAAAGCAGGGUCUCCUGAAGGCAAAGUCAGCUCUGCAGCAGUGAUCCACAGUGGGAUUGAUAGUUCGAUUCUUAUUUAUUCCACAUAAUUCUCCAAGAACUAAAUCUGCCUAUACCAACGAGAAGUGGAACGCUGGUAUGAUUUUAAAAUGCCAAGGACAUUAUAUCUAUCUAUAUCUAGAUAGAUAGAUAGAUAGAUAGAUAGAUAGAUAGAUAGAUAGAUAGAUAGAUGUAAUUAGAUGAAUAGCUAGUUGUGAGAUCACCAGCAACCUUGCUUAGGAAAACACAAGGUAUCCAUGCUACUGUGCUGUGUGGCAGGAAUUAUAAAGGCUAACUAACAAUAUUGCGAAAAUUCAAUCGUCAGUAGAUGCCUAUGGAUUAAGUUUUCAUGUUAUAUACACAAAGUUUCUAUCGUAUACAGAGACUUGUGACCUCAAAGUAACAAUUGAACAUGGGUCUCUGGGCACACCCCUUCCCCCAUGCUCUCGAUCCCAUUCCUAAAAGACUGGGCAGAAAGUAGCAUUUCUCUUCCAAACUCUUCCUUUGGGGACAAAAGGCAAAAUUUGUAACACUAUUUAAAAUGGUCGGCUUUGUAGUCUGGGAUGUAGAAGCCUUCCCACCAUGUGUAAGACCUACAAAAUAAAUGAAUAAGUCUUCUGAGGCCAU
Long non-coding RNA from Rattus norvegicus (Norway rat), 2443 nucleotides. RefSeq lists it as uncharacterized. The record is from RefSeq and is a predicted model, not a curated record. Lineage: Eukaryota; Metazoa; Chordata; Mammalia; Rodentia; Muridae.